GGAAGUGUGGCCGAGUGGUUUAAGGCUCUAGUCUUGAAAACUAGCGUAGGGGCGACCUUACCGUGAGUUCGAAUCUCACCGCUUCCGCCA
RNAcentral lists this transfer RNA (90 nucleotides) under Leptothrix sp. (in: b-proteobacteria). RNAcentral's name for it is "tRNA-Ser". It matches the Rfam family "tRNA". From Rfam's summary of the family: Transfer RNA (tRNA) molecules are approximately 80 nucleotides in length. Their secondary structure includes four short double-helical elements and three loops (D, anti-codon, and T loops). Lineage: Bacteria; Pseudomonadati; Pseudomonadota; Betaproteobacteria; Burkholderiales; Sphaerotilaceae. The record is from RNAcentral. RNAcentral also lists the same sequence under 3 other names.